Molecule: non-coding RNA, 86 nt
Organism: Gnomoniopsis smithogilvyi
Lineage: Eukaryota; Fungi; Ascomycota; Sordariomycetes; Diaporthales; Gnomoniaceae
Source: the annotation of a GenBank genome assembly
GGGGAUGUGGUCUAGUGGUAUGAUUCUCGCUUAGCAACUCUGCUAUCAAAUGUGAGCGGUCCCGAGUUCAAUUCUUGGCGUCUCCA